This 809-nucleotide ribosomal RNA is filed under the name Streptomyces pratensis. RNAcentral describes it as "bacterial SSU rRNA". It matches the Rfam family "Bacterial small subunit ribosomal RNA", at positions 52 to 878 of the family's 1533-position model. Lineage: Bacteria; Bacillati; Actinomycetota; Actinomycetes; Kitasatosporales; Streptomycetaceae. The record is from RNAcentral.
UACCUGCAGUCGACGAUGAAGCCCUUCGGGGUGGAUUAGUGGCGAACGGGUGAGUAACACGUGGGCAAUCUGCCCUUCACUCUGGGACAAGCCCUGGAAACGGGGUCUAAUACCGGAUAACACUCUGUCCCGCAUGGGACGGGGUUAAAAGCUCCGGCGGUGAAGGAUGAGCCCGCGGCCUAUCAGCUUGUUGGUGGGGUAAUGGCCUACCAAGGCGACGACGGGUAGCCGGCCUGAGAGGGCGACCGGCCACACUGGGACUGAGACACGGCCCAGACUCCUACGGGAGGCAGCAGUGGGGAAUAUUGCACAAUGGGCGAAAGCCUGAUGCAGCGACGCCGCGUGAGGGAUGACGGCCUUCGGGUUGUAAACCUCUUUCAGCAGGGAAGAAGCGAAAGUGACGGUACCUGCAGAAGAAGCGCCGGCUAACUACGUGCCAGCAGCCGCGGUAAUACGUAGGGCGCAAGCGUUGUCCGGAAUUAUUGGGCGUAAAGAGCUCGUAGGCGGCUUGUCACGUCGGAUGUGAAAGCCCGGGGCUUAACCCCGGGUCUGCAUUCGAUACGGGCUAGCUAGAGUGUGGUAGGGGAGAUCGGAAUUCCUGGUGUAGCGGUGAAAUGCGCAGAUAUCAGGAGGAACACCGGUGGCGAAGGCGGAUCUCUGGGCCAUUACUGACGCUGAGGAGCGAAAGCGUGGGGAGCGAACAGGAUUAGAUACCCUGGUAGUCCACGCCGUAAACGUUGGGAACUAGGUGUUGGCGACAUUCCACGUCGUCGGUGCCGCAGCUAACGCAUUAAGUUCCCCGCCUGGGG